GACGUCAAAUCAUCAUGCCCCUUAUGACCUGGGCUACACACGUGCUACAAUGGACAGAACAAAGGGCAGCGAAACCGCGAGGUUAAGCCAAUCCCACAAAUCUGUUCUCAGUUCGGAUCGCAGUCUGCAACUCGACUGCGUGAAGCUGGAAUCGCUAGUAAUCGCGGAUCAGCAUGCCGCGGUGAAUACGUUCCCGGGCCUUGUACACACCGCCCGUCACACCACGAGAGUUUGUAACACCCGAAGUCGGUGAGGUAACCUUUAAGGAGCCAGCCGCCGAAGGUGGGACAGAUGAUGGGGUGAAUUGAUGCCAGGUUCA
Molecule: ribosomal RNA, 319 nt
Filed under: Bacillus sp. SJF
Lineage: Bacteria; Bacillati; Bacillota; Bacilli; Caryophanales; Bacillaceae
Description: bacterial SSU rRNA
Rfam family: Bacterial small subunit ribosomal RNA
Source: RNAcentral